This 2500-nucleotide long non-coding RNA is filed under the name Canis lupus familiaris (dog). Its description in RNAcentral is "lncRNA (ENSCAFG00000058495.1)". The record is from RNAcentral. Lineage: Eukaryota; Metazoa; Chordata; Mammalia; Carnivora; Canidae.
UUUUUUUUUUUUUUAAUAACAUUUUAUUUUUUUUUUAAUUUUUUUAUUUAUUUAUGAUAGUCACAGAGAGAGAGAGAGAGAGAGAGGCAGAGACACAGGCAGAGGGAGAAGCAGGCUCCAUGCACCGGGAGCCUGAUGUGGGAUUCGAUCCCGGGUCUCCAGGAUCGCGCCCUGGGCCAAAGGCAGGCGCCAAACCGCUGCGCCACCCAGGGAUCCCCCAUUCUUCCAUUAUCUUGAAGAAUAAUUCCUAGCCUCUACUGAGAAGGUUUGUCCACACUAAUCUCCUUAUCUAAUGGUCUCCUGGCCAGACCCUGAGUGUUCUCACUUUUUACAAUGUGGAUAGGCUAAGAAUUUUCCAAAUCUUUAAGUCCUGCUUCCUUUUUGCUUAACAAUUCCAACUUUAAGUCUUUUCUCUUUUCUAGUAUUAUAUAAGCAAUCAGGAGCCAAGGCUCUAUUUCAAGAUUUUGCUUAGCAAUUUCUCCAGCUAAAUAACUAAUUUCAGUGAAAGUUCUACCUGCUAUAAAACACUAGAACACAAAUACAAUUCAACCAAGUUCUUUGCCACUUUGUAACAAGGAUUGCUUCACCUCCAUUUCUAAUAUAUUCUUCCUUUCUCUCUGAGACCUUGUCACAAUGGCUCUUACCAUCUAUUGGCUCUUACUAUCAAUGGCUAUUACCAUCUAAUAUUUCUACAAAUAUUUUGUUCAUGAUUAUGGAGGUAUUCUUUAAGAAGAUGGAAGCUUUCUUUACAUUUCUUCUCUUUUCCUUCUGAACUCUCUCCAGAAUCACCUUUGAAGGUCCCUUCACAACAAUGUAGACUUUUUCUAGAAUGCACCUCAAGUGCCACCAGCUUCUAUCCAUUAUCUGAUUCCAAAGCAGCUUCCACACUUUUAGACAUUUGUUACAGCAACAUUCCACUUUGUGGUACUAAUUUCUGUCUUAGUCUGUUCAGGCUGUAUGACAAAUAUAUCAUAGACCAGGUGACUUAAACAACAAAUAUUUAUUUCUCACAGUUCUGGGAAGUCCACACUCAAAGUAUGAGCAGCUUUGUGUCUGGUGAGGGCCCACUUCCUGGAUCAUAGAUAACUGCCCAUUUUCUGACCAUGUCCUCAUGCAGAGAAGGGGAAAAGGAACCCUGGGUACUAUUUCAUAAGGGCACUAAUCCUAGUGAUGAGGGCUCCACUCUCACAACAUAAUAACCACCUCCCAAAGGUCCCACCUCCAAAUAACAUCAUGUUGAGUAGUAGGUAUGAAUUUUUCAGGGAGACACAUUCAAUCUAUAGCAGUUAUUUAGAUCAUCUUUUUUUUUUUUGAGGAUUGCAUUUGGAUAUAUUAUUCUAAGUUAUAUUUCUUCUAGAAGAAGUUUUGUAAAUUGGUAAUUGUUCCAUUUCAAUCUCUGAUAUUAAGUCACUUACUUCAUCAGCAGCAAAAGAGGAGUUUGACUAGAUGCAUUGUCUGGGAAGAAGCAGCCACUUCAGAAAUGCUAAAUGUCUUGCGCUGAAAUCCAUUAUAACAGAGCUUGAGAAAGAAAUGUAAAAUAGUAUUUAAAUCCUCAUCUAAAAACUGCAAUCAGUAAUAAAUAUGAAGCCAAAGCAGCAAAUAUUUAAAUGACAACUUUAUAUCUCUUUAAAUGCAAUAUAAUGUCCUGGCUGUAUCAUAAUGACAUCAUUAUGAACAGAAAGCCUUGAUCUGCAGUACCAAGAUAUUUUACAGUAACUUUUGUCCAGUGAUGUACCCAAAAAAACUCUAUGCCCUUUAAGUAGACUCAUACUCACCCAUGAUUUGGUGAUAGGUUCUGCCCAAAAACUUGUAAGGUAGUGAUAGUAAAGCAUAAACAUUAGGGUCAGAAUCUGAAGAUAUUAAGUUGAAUAUUUUUGUCUUUUAUUAGUUACUGAACAUUUCCUGGUUUCAGAUUCAGUACCUUUAAAAUGGGAAUAAUGAUGUUCAUCCUGAACAUGUCUGAGAAUGAAAUAAUCAAAUAAACUGUAUUACUUAUAAGAUGUGAAUUCAGUGAAAUAAGUCAAUCAGAGAAGGACAAACAUUAUAUGGUCUCAUUCAUUUGGGGAAUAUAAAAAGUAGUGAAGGGGAAUAGAGGGUAAGGGAGAAAAAAUGAGAGGGAGAUAUCAGAGAGGGAGACGGAGCAUGGAAGACUCCUACCUCUGGGAAACGCACUAGGGGUGGUGGAAAGGGAGGUGGGCAGGAAGUGGGGGUGACUGGGUGAUGGCCAGGUGGACACUUGACGGGAUGAGCAUUGGGUGUUAUUCUAUAUGUUGGCAAAUUGAACACCAAUAAACAUAAAUUUAAAUUAAAAAAAGAAAAGAAAGCUAUGAAUUCAGUAAGAUAUUAUUGAUAUCACCAUUAUCUAAUCUUCAUCAUCAUAAUCAUCAUCAUUUAAUGUUAAGGGGCACCAUUUUUAACAGUAAACUCAGUCUUAUCAUAGUUGAUUUUUAAGAUGUAAGCUGCUAAAGUAAGAAAAGAUAAGAAAAACAUAAGAACAUAA